RNAcentral lists this long non-coding RNA (1768 nucleotides) under Mus musculus (house mouse). RNAcentral's name for it is "long non-coding RNA chr4:141222350-141224118". Lineage: Eukaryota; Metazoa; Chordata; Mammalia; Rodentia; Muridae. The record is from RNAcentral.
AAGGGAUUGGGACAAUUAAAAAAAAUAUAUAUAUAUAUACAUAUACAUACAUACACACACACACACAUAUAUAUGUGUUUCCUGAUGAAUUGGCGUGAAGAAUUCCUCUUUUGGGCACCAAGGAAAAAGAUUAGCCAGAGUAAAGCUAGCUGUAGCAUUUAUUGCCCAUCUCUGUAUUGUUUGUUGUUUCAGCCCUAAGGGGGAAAAUGGUUAGUCUGAGAAAAGCUAGCUGUAGCAUUUAUUGCCCGGUCUCUGGGUUUAUCCAGUCUCUGCCUUGUCUGUUCAGUCUAUGUAUUGUCCAUCUCUUUGGGAUCAAUCACUUGGGCCAGCCCUUUGGAAGUUGAUUUGUAUGCAGUUUUUUUUUUUUUUAAACAAAUCGGUAACUGAGACAGCCUGCGACUUAUUUGGGCUAUUUGCUUUGUGAUGGGAUUUGAACUCAGGACCCAUGUCUCAGGUGAUAAGAGGUUUUCCUUGGUCAGAUCUGAUUUUUGUAAGUUUUGUUGGUAUCCAUAUUUUUUCAUUCCCUGUAGAUAUAUAAGUAUAACCACACCCCAUCUGAGUGCUAUUGCGGGUUUCCAUUCUAAUGUCAACAUAUCCUUAUACUAUAUUGGUUGACCUAGUUCCUCAAUUUUUUUCCAUAACCCAGUGUCUCUGAGCUGCUGUUGUUCCUUCUUGACCGACAUUAAGAAAAUUGAGAGUUAGCAAUGCAUUAUUUAGCCUGUCUCUCGGUUUUUUUUUUUUACCCUCCCUUUUUGCCCAAUAAGCGUCUCUUUUAAGGUACGAUUGGCUCUUUUUAUAAUUGCUUGUCCUGUGGGAUUGUGUGGUACACCAGUAAUAUGCUUUAUAUUAUAAUAUGCCAAGAAUUGCUCCAUCUUAUUGGAUACAUGUGUGGGGGCAUUGUCAGUUUUGAUUUGUGCAGGUAUCCCCAUAAUUGCCAUUAUUUCCAAUGAAUGUGUAAUUAGACAGUCAGCCCUUUCAGAACUUAAAGCAGCUGCCCAUUGAAACCCUGAGAAUGUGUCAAUGGUGUGCUAUAUGUACCUUUGUUUCCCAAAUUCUGCAAAAUGGAGAACAUCCAGCUGCUGGAUGUCAUUUCUUUUGUACCCUUAGGGUUACUACCAGGAGGUAACAGAGUUUGGCUGUAUAGAGAACACGUACGACAAUUUUUUUUAUUAUUAUUUCUUUGGCUUGUUGCCAAGUGAUGGACCUUUUUUUUUUUUCUUUAAACCUUUCCCACUAACAUGAUGUUCCUCAUGAAGUUUUGAGGCUUAUAACACAUUUCCUGUUAGUAAUUGAUCAUUUUCCUCAUUUCCUUGAGCUGAUGGACCUGGCAAACCUGUAUGAGACGGAAGAUGAGAAAUAGGUAAUGGAUAAUUUCCACUUCUCAUGGCCUGUUGCAGUUGUAUACAUAAUGAGGUUAAUUCUGAGUUAUCAGAUAUAAAUCCAGCAGUCUCUGUAUGUAAAACAACUCUUUCUGCAUAUAAAGAAUCGGUAUUUAUGUUGAGAGGUUCAGGAUAAUCUAAUCAUACCAUAAGGCUAGCAUACAGUUCUGACGUUUGAACCGCUGUAUAUGGCCUUUUGAUUACCUUGCUUAUUUUUCCUGAUUUAUAACCUGCCAUCCACACCUUGUUUGCAUCAAUAUAAAAUGCUGCUGUGUCUGGAACUGGUGUUCUCUUUACAAUACAUGGAAGAAUCCAAGAAGUUCUUUUUUAAACUAUAUACAUUUGAUAUUUGUUAUUUAUUUUGCCCAAUAAAUUAUUACAAGCUCUUU